AUCUCUAUGACAAGAACUUAAAGGAAAAAAAAAACACAAAUGCCAAUUCCGACCUAUUCAAAUUCCUCGAGCACAAAUCAUCAUCCUUCAAUUUCACAUUCUAAAGAAUUUAAAUCCUUUCAAGUGCGGUUUUUGAAACCCAAAACCUUCCAGACCCAGAAAAAAAUAAACAAAUAUAUAGAGAUGUUUAUAUGUUUCUUGAAAAAUAGAUGCUUUAAAGGAGAAUAUGCAGCGAGAAUAGUACCUGAGUUAGAAUCAGAAAUGGGGUUUUGUGUACUUUGAAGACGAAUAAACUAAAAGAACUUAGCUUUGCAGCAAAUCUGAAAGUUAAAAAAGAAGCUUCUUUCUUCUUUUUGUUGAUGGAGUUUUGACCAAUAAUUUCCAAAUGCGUGUUUUGUGUGAGAUGUGUGUUGGGGGUAGGGAGAAUACAAAAGUAGAGUAGCUUCCUCUCUCCAUACGAGUUAGCUUUGACAAGCUUUAUCUCUCUAACUUUGAUGGCGGCGGGCCAUAUGGGGCCCGGGCUUGCAUUUUUCUCUCGGAUUUCGGGAUUAUGUUCAGCAAGAAAGCGAAACGCUCAUUAU
This 581-nucleotide long non-coding RNA is filed under the name Olea europaea (common olive). RNAcentral's name for it is "long non-coding RNA (OEUR_LNC007074)". Lineage: Eukaryota; Viridiplantae; Streptophyta; Magnoliopsida; Lamiales; Oleaceae. The record is from RNAcentral.